This 224-nucleotide ribosomal RNA is filed under the name uncultured Eubacteriales bacterium. Its description in RNAcentral is "uncultured Clostridiales bacterium partial 16S ribosomal RNA". It matches the Rfam family "Bacterial small subunit ribosomal RNA", at positions 109 to 334 of the family's 1533-position model. Lineage: Bacteria; Bacillati; Bacillota; Clostridia; Eubacteriales. The record is from RNAcentral.
AGUAACGCGUGAGUAAUCUGCCUUACACAAGGGGAUAGCCGUUGGAAACGACGAAUAAUACCCUAUGAAACUAUCACUUCGCAUGAAGCGAUAGUCAAAGUGUUAGCGGUGUAAGAUGGACUUGCGUCUGAUUAGCUAGUUGGUGAGAAAAAGCCCACCAAGGCAACGAUCAGUAGCCGGCUUGAGAGAGUGUACGGCCACAUUGGGACUGAGACACGGCCCAG